CCUACGGGAGGCAGCAGUGGGGAAUAUUGCACAAUGGGCGCAAGCCUGAUGCAGCCAUGCCGCGUGUGUGAAGAAGGCCUUCGGGUUGUAAAGCACUUUCAGCGGGGAGGAAGGCGGUGAGGUUAAUAACCUCAUCGAUUGACGUUACCCGCAGAAGAAGCACCGGCUAACUCCGUGCCAGCAGCCGCGGUAAU
This 194-nucleotide ribosomal RNA is filed under the name uncultured bacterium. RNAcentral's name for it is "partial 16S ribosomal RNA". It matches the Rfam family "Bacterial small subunit ribosomal RNA", at positions 338 to 524 of the family's 1533-position model. RNAcentral also lists the same sequence under 1 other name. The record is from RNAcentral.